This is a non-coding RNA of Pelobates cultripes (western spadefoot toad), 863 nucleotides long. NCBI's taxonomy places the organism in Eukaryota, Metazoa, Chordata, Amphibia, Anura, Pelobatidae. The record is from the annotation of a GenBank genome assembly.
GUGACAUACUCUAACAUUACAUAUUACUGGGAGUUUUAUUGUUCUGUUCUGUGAUAAACAGGUACACCACCUAGUACUGUGAGGGUUUUUUGUUGCUGUGGAGUUCAGUGAUAAAUGUUUUUUAUUCCAAAUAGGUCAAGGUAAAUAAGGAAAAUCCAGAGCUCCAAAGCAUAACAAUUAUGUGACAUAUUUAGUCUGCCCCUCUGUAAUGCUGAAGAGGCAGUAUGGCACCUCUGGCCGGCACUUCUGUUGGCUGAAGACCAUUAGUAGCUGUCUUCCUAGCUCAGGCCAUUUAGAGCGUUGCUGCGGAUUUCCGCAGGAAAGCUCUGACAUGCCAAGUGUGAGCUCGCGAGACAGUUACUCAUGGUCUGCACCCGGUGGAGUGGCAGACCAGAUUCCCAGUACAGUGGAACACCCUGAUCAGCAUGCCCCUCUCCCAACAAUGUUACAGGGAAUGAAGAAUGAAUAUUUGUUUUUAAAUCAUCAUUCAUUUAAUAAUUCCCCUAUACAUACACACUAUACAUGGAUGAAGGGGGAUGACUGAGUGAAAGGCCUAAAAGCCUAAGGCUGGUCCUGAUUACAUUUGACUGCACUAUCAUGCAUGUGUGAGAGAACAGCAAUGACCCUUCAUAGACAUAGCAAUCUAAAAACCAGGCAAGAGAUAUACAGAGACAAAGUAGGGACUAAAUUUCACUAUCACCCCAUCCCUUGAAAUAUGAUUAUUUCAUAGAGACAGAAUCUUUAUGAAAUACACUUUUUGACUGUGUUGGAAUUAUACUAUAUUCCAAACCAGAGAUUUACAGAGACAAAGUAAGGACAGCUUUGUCUCUGUAUACCUCAUGAGAUUUUUGUGAAACUCCAAC